This 56-nucleotide transfer RNA is filed under the name Salmo salar (Atlantic salmon). It matches the Rfam family "tRNA", at positions 8 to 63 of the family's 71-position model. From Rfam's summary of the family: Transfer RNA (tRNA) molecules are approximately 80 nucleotides in length. Their secondary structure includes four short double-helical elements and three loops (D, anti-codon, and T loops). The record is from Rfam by way of RNAcentral. Lineage: Eukaryota; Metazoa; Chordata; Actinopteri; Salmoniformes; Salmonidae.
UGGUUCAGUGGUAGAAUUCUCGCCUGCCAUGCGGGAGGCCUGAGUUCGGAUCCCAG